UACGUAGGUGGCAAGCGUUGUCCGGAUUUAUUGGGUUUAAAGGGUGCGUAGGCGGCUUUGUAAGUCAGGGGUGAAAUAUGGCAGCUCAACUGUCAAGGUGCCAUUGAUACUGCAGAGCUUGAGUACAGAUGAGGUAGGCGGAAUUGACGGUGUAGCGGUGAAAUGCUUAGAUAUCGUCAAGAACACCUAUAGCGAAGGCAGCUUACUAGGCUGUAACUGACGCUGAGGCACGAAAGUGUGGGGAUCAAACAGG
Molecule: ribosomal RNA, 253 nt
Filed under: uncultured bacterium
Lineage: Bacteria
Description: partial 16S ribosomal RNA
Rfam family: Bacterial small subunit ribosomal RNA
Source: RNAcentral